This 301-nucleotide ribosomal RNA is filed under the name uncultured bacterium. Its description in RNAcentral is "partial 16S ribosomal RNA". It matches the Rfam family "Bacterial small subunit ribosomal RNA", at positions 509 to 807 of the family's 1533-position model. The record is from RNAcentral.
CAGCAGCCGCGGGAAUACGUAGGGUGCGAGCGUUAAUCGGAAUUACUGGGCGUAAAGCGUGCGCAGGCGGUUUUGUAAGACAGGCGUGAAACCCCCGGGCUCAACCUGGGAAUGGCGCUUGUGACUGCAAAGCUAGAGUGCGGCAGAGGGGGAUGGAAUUCCGCGUGUAGCAGUGAAAUGCGUAGAUAUGCGGAGGAACACCGAUGGCGAAGGCAAUCCCCUGGGCCUGCACUGACGCUCAUGCACGAAAGCGUGGGGAGCAAACAGGAUUAGAUACCCGCGUAGUCCCUGUCUCUUAUAC